UCCAAACUUUAGGGGUGUCUGUUCAAAUGAACAGGCUGAGACUUUACCCUUUGAACCUGAUUUCUAGACAAUACUAGCGUAGGGAAAAGUGAGAUGACUUUG
Molecule: non-coding RNA, 102 nt
Filed under: Chryseobacterium taiwanense
Lineage: Bacteria; Pseudomonadati; Bacteroidota; Flavobacteriia; Flavobacteriales; Weeksellaceae
Description: TPP sequence
Rfam family: TPP riboswitch aptamer (THI element)
About the family: Vitamin B(1) in its active form thiamin pyrophosphate (TPP) is an essential coenzyme that is synthesised by coupling of pyrimidine and thiazole moieties in bacteria.
Source: RNAcentral